CACGCAUACAAUAGCAUGAUAUAGUGGGAUGAAUCUAGGAUUUCACAAAUUCAAGAUAAGAAUAUUGGCUCUGACUCCAUCUUUUCCUGUUUGUGAAGGAAGUCUGUUCCAUCCUUUUCCUAACCUCGGUCUCAUCUGUGAGACAAGGAUUUUGAGGAAUGCUGAGAUACACAAAGCUCUCUGAACCCAGAGCUUCCCUUGCUUCUCCUAUCUCUUGAUCAGCUGAUGGGACUCAUCUGGAAGGCUAGACUUCAUUUCUCAUCAUUCCCACGGUGGAGGAAGGAGGUCACGCCACCAGACCGGGAGAAGAAGCACAUUCCAGAAAGAGCCAGUCUGUAGAGGUCUUGACUAUAUUGUGGGGUUGGGGGUGAAUAUCCCAGGAGCAUACAUAAAGGAACCAGUAAAUGGGACAGCUGGGGUCAGGAGGCAUCAAACUAUUUACUAAGCGAACUCAGAGAUGAUUCAUUUCCGCUGCAUUGGAUAAAAAGAGACAGAAAUAAGUCUCCCAGGAGGAGGAUGGGAAAGGCAACAAUGUAAGGACAAAGUUUCUCUGCAGCUUUGGAGGCGGUCCAGGAACUUGCUGUGUAGACCAGGCUGGUCUCAAACUCACAGAGAUCUGCCUGGGAUUCGACACUCUUUUCUUCAUCACACAUACAUUUCACUUAUAUUUAAAUAAAUAAAAGUAAGCCAAAUCA
Non-coding RNA from Cricetulus griseus (Chinese hamster), 695 nucleotides. NCBI's taxonomy places the organism in Eukaryota, Metazoa, Chordata, Mammalia, Rodentia, Cricetidae. The record is from RefSeq and is a predicted model, not a curated record.